UACGAAGGGGGCUAGCGUUGUUCGGAAUUACUGGGCGUAAAGCGCACGUAGGCGGAUAUUUAAGUCAGGGGUGAAAUCCCAGAGCUCAACUCUGGAACUGCCUUUGAUACUGGGUAUCUCGAGUAUGGAAGAGGUGAGUGGAAUUCCGAGUGUAGAGGUGAAAUUCGUAGAUAUUCGGAAGAACACCAGUGGCGAAGGCGGCUCACUGGUCCGGUACUGACGCUGAGGUGCGAAAGCGUGGGGAGCAAGCAGG
RNAcentral lists this ribosomal RNA (253 nucleotides) under uncultured bacterium. Its description in RNAcentral is "partial 16S ribosomal RNA". It matches the Rfam family "Bacterial small subunit ribosomal RNA", at positions 524 to 776 of the family's 1533-position model. The record is from RNAcentral.